This 71-nucleotide transfer RNA is filed under the name Astyanax mexicanus (Mexican tetra). It matches the Rfam family "tRNA". From Rfam's summary of the family: Transfer RNA (tRNA) molecules are approximately 80 nucleotides in length. Their secondary structure includes four short double-helical elements and three loops (D, anti-codon, and T loops). The record is from Rfam by way of RNAcentral. Lineage: Eukaryota; Metazoa; Chordata; Actinopteri; Characiformes; Acestrorhamphidae.
GGCUGGGAAGCUUAGUCAGGAGAGCGUCAGACUUUUAAUCUGAGGGUUCAGUAGAUAGAUUGAUUCAGCUU